AGAACCAGCUGAAUUUCAUCACUGGAUGGCUGGGUGGACUGUACAUCAACAUUUGAACUACUAGAACCUAUACCUGUGGCCUGCUUCUUCUAAGAAGCUUCUUAUACACACCCUAUUCAGUUUUUCAAACAUCAAUAGAAUGAACUUCUACAGAAAAACAUACCAUUGUGUAUCGACAUUAUAUAUGGUCAAAAGACAGGUAAAGAAACAUACAGAACAUGGCUGACUGGGAGAUUAGAAUGGCAGCGCUUCCAACAGUCCAUAGGUUACCAAUUUAUCACUGAAUGUGACAUCAGCGCUUUUUCUAAAAGUGAAAUGUGGAUGGAUGGAGUUGCCCACAGAACUUUAUUCCAGCUGUGGAUUUUUAAGUGUGAAUUUGGAUUGCCGCCUCCUCUCCCCCUCCCGUCUCUUUCCAUCGCAUCCCACUCUUCAAUGCCUCAAGCGAAACCAUAUUCAUCAGUCUCUGAGAGAGGGAGGGAGAGAGAGAGAGAGAGAGAGAGAGAGAGAAAGAAAGAAAAAGAAAGAAAGAAAGAAAGAAAGAAAGAAAGAAAGAAAGAAAGAAAGAAAUUCAAAAAAUGAAAUUAAGGAAAGAAGUGCGAAAGAAAACUGUUGAAAGAAAUCUCGGAAGAACUAGAAAAAGCUCGUGUCCCCUCCCCCGCAGUUUCUAAUUUAUUUCCAGUGAAAUAAAAAUCACUUAACCCAA
Molecule: long non-coding RNA, 703 nt
Organism: Pantherophis guttatus
Lineage: Eukaryota; Metazoa; Chordata; Lepidosauria; Squamata; Colubridae
Source: RefSeq, a predicted model, not a curated record